GAUGAACGCUGGCGGCGUGCCUAACACAUGCAAGUCGAACGGAGAAUUUACGCUGAUGAAGCUUCGGCAGAUUCUUGUAAAUUCUUAGUGGCGGACGGGUGAGUAACGCGUGGGCAACCUGCCUCAUACUGGGGGAUAACAGCUGGAAACGACUGUUAAUACCGCAUAAGCGCACGGUAUCGCAUGAUACAGUGUGAAAAACUCCGGUGGUAUGAGAUGGGCCCGCGUCAGAUUAGCCAGUUGGCAGGGUAACGGCCUACCAAAGCGACGAUCUGUAGCCGGCCUGAGAGGGCGGACGGCCACAUUGGGACUGAGACACGGCCCAAACUCCUACGGGAGGCAGCAGUGGGGGAUAUUGCACAAUGGAGGAAACUCUGAUGCAGCGACGCCGCGUGAGUGAAGAAGUAUUUCGGUAUGUAAAGCUCUAUCAGCAGGGAAGAAAGACUCGUAAGAGAGAUGACG
RNAcentral lists this ribosomal RNA (462 nucleotides) under bacterium LB3005. Its description in RNAcentral is "bacterial SSU rRNA". It matches the Rfam family "Bacterial small subunit ribosomal RNA", at positions 28 to 474 of the family's 1533-position model. RNAcentral also lists the same sequence under 1 other name. The record is from RNAcentral.